GUGCUCGCUUCAGGCAGUACAUAUACUAAAAAUGGAACUAUACAGAGAAGAGUAACAUGGCUUCUGUGCAAGGGUGACAUACAAAUUCAUGAAGCAUUCCAAAUUAAA
This is a small nuclear RNA of Suncus etruscus (white-toothed pygmy shrew), 108 nucleotides long. Lineage: Eukaryota; Metazoa; Chordata; Mammalia; Eulipotyphla; Soricidae. The record is from RefSeq and is a predicted model, not a curated record.